Molecule: ribosomal RNA, 564 nt
Filed under: Actinoplanes sp. 410E08
Lineage: Bacteria; Bacillati; Actinomycetota; Actinomycetes; Micromonosporales; Micromonosporaceae
Description: bacterial SSU rRNA
Rfam family: Bacterial small subunit ribosomal RNA
Source: RNAcentral
GAGCGGCGAACGGGUGAGUAACACGUGAGUAACCUGCCCUGGACUUUGGGAUAACCCUCGGAAACGGGGGCUAAUACCGGAUACGACACACUGAUGCAUGUCAUGUGUGUGGAAAGUUUUUCGGUCUGGGAUGGGCUCGCGGCCUAUCAGCUUGUUGGUGGGGUGAUGGCCUACCAAGGCGACGACGGGUAGCCGGCCUGAGAGGGCGACCGGCCACACUGGGACUGAGACACGGCCCAGACUCCUACGGGAGGCAGCAGUGGGGAAUAUUGCACAAUGGGCGGAAGCCUGAUGCAGCGACGCCGCGUGAGGGAUGACGGCCUUCGGGUUGUAAACCUCUUUCAGCAGGGACGAAGCGUGAGUGACGGUACCUGCAGAAGAAGCGCCGGCCAACUACGUGCCAGCAGCCGCGGUAAGACGUAGGGCGCGAGCGUUGUCCGGAUUUAUUGGGCGUAAAGAGCUCGUAGGCGGCUUGUCGCGUCGUCCGUGAAAACCUGCAGCUCAACUGCAGGCUUGCGGUCGAUACGGGCAGGCUAGAGUUCGGUAGGGGAGACUGGAAUUCCU